CACGUGGGUAACCUGCCCAUAAGACUGGGAUAACUCCGGGAAACCGGGGCUAAUACCGGAUAACAUUUUGAACCGCAUGGUUCGAAAUUGAAAGGCGGCUUCGGCUGUCACUUAUGGAUGGACCCGCGUCGCAUUAGCUAGUUGGUGAGGUAACGGCUCACCAAGGCAACGAUGCGUAGCCGACCUGAGAGGGUGAUCGGCCACACUGGGACUGAGACACGGCCCAGACUCCUACGGGAGGCAGCAGUAGGGAAUCUUCCGCAAUGGACGAAAGUCUGACGGAGCAACGCCGCGUGAGUGAUGAAGGCUUUCGGGUCGUAAAACUCUGUUGUUAGGGA
This 338-nucleotide ribosomal RNA is filed under the name Bacillus cereus. RNAcentral's name for it is "bacterial SSU rRNA". It matches the Rfam family "Bacterial small subunit ribosomal RNA", at positions 114 to 445 of the family's 1533-position model. Lineage: Bacteria; Bacillati; Bacillota; Bacilli; Caryophanales; Bacillaceae. The record is from RNAcentral.